GCCUCUGUAGUAUAAAUCAAUACACCAGUCUUGUAAACUGGAAAUGGACACUCUUCCCUGGGGCAA
Molecule: transfer RNA, 66 nt
Filed under: Trachypithecus phayrei crepuscula
Lineage: Eukaryota; Metazoa; Chordata; Mammalia; Primates; Cercopithecidae
Description: tRNA-Thr
Rfam family: tRNA
About the family: Transfer RNA (tRNA) molecules are approximately 80 nucleotides in length. Their secondary structure includes four short double-helical elements and three loops (D, anti-codon, and T loops).
Source: RNAcentral